This 118-nucleotide ribosomal RNA is filed under the name Holospora undulata. The record is from RNAcentral. Lineage: Bacteria; Pseudomonadati; Pseudomonadota; Alphaproteobacteria; Holosporales; Holosporaceae.
GGACUGGUGACUAGAGCAAGCGGAAAACACACGAUCCCAUUUCGAACUCGACCGUUAAGACGCUUAGCGCUGAUGAUAUUUCGUCUUAAGGCGUGAAAAAGUAGGUCGUUGCCAGUCU